AAAAAGGUAAAGAAGAACAGUUCCCCUCCCCUUUCCCUUUAUGGGCAACUGUUAUGGCGUGAAUUUUUCUAUACAGCAGCAACAAAUAAUCCACGCUUUGAUAAAAUGGAAGGAAACCCUAUCUGUGUUCAGAUUCCUUGGGAUAAAAAUCCUGAGGCUUUAGCCAAAUGGGCGGAAGGCCGGACAGGCUUUCCAUGGAUUGAUGCCAUCAUGACACAGCUUCGUCAGGAGGGUUGGAUUCAUCAUCUAGCCAGGCAUGCAGUUGCUUGCUUCCUGACACGAGGGGACCUGUGGAUUAGUUGGGAAGAAGGAAUGAAGGUAUUUGAAGAAUUAUUGCUUGAUGCAGAUUGGAGCAUAAAUGCUGGAAGUUGGAUGUGGCUGUCUUGUAGUUCCUUUUUUCAACAGUUUUUUCACUGCUAUUGCCCUGUUGGUUUUGGUAGGAGAACAGAUCCCAAUGGAGACUAUAUCAGGCGUUAUUUGCCUGUCCUAAGAGGCUUCCCUGCAAAAUAUAUCUAUGAUCCCUGGAAUGCACCAGAAGGUAUCCAAAAGGUAGCCAAAUGUUUGAUAGGAGUUAAUUAUCCUAAACCAAUGGUGAACCAUGCUGAGGCAAGCCGUUUGAAUAUCGAAAGGAUGAAACAGAUCUAUCAGCAGCUUUCACGAUAUAGAGGACUAGGUCUUCUGGCAUCAGUACCUUCUAAUCCUAAUGGGAAUGGAGGCUUCAUGGGAUAUUCUGCAGAAAAUAUCCCAGGUUGUAGCAGCAGUGGAAGUUGCUCUCAAGGGAGUGGUAUUUUACACUAUGCUCAUGGCGACAGUCAGCAAACUCACCUGUUGAAGCAAGGAAGAAGCUCCAUGGGCACUGGUCUCAGUGGUGGGAAACGUCCUAGUCAGGAAGAGGACACACAGAGUAUUGGUCCUAAAGUCCAGAGACAGAGCACUAAUUAGAAAACAUUCAGGAGGAAUACUGUUGCAGCUGAAAUUGGUGGGGAGUUCAAUACUUUUCAAUUAAGUUAUUUAAAAAUAUUCUUCAUUGAUGGAAAGCAGUUACAUAUUGAAAUAUGUUGUUUCUAAUGACAUUUCUGUGGUUUUUAACUUUUUAAUGAAUUUCACAGAGGACAAUUGGUAAUUUGUAUAUAAAGAACUUGGCAAGAGAAUUUGCUUAAUGUAAAUAUAAACAGUCACAAUUAGUAUAGACCCAUCGAUAUAUUUUUGAUAAUUUUUCAUGUAUGGUAAAGUUAAAAUGACAAAUUGAUAUUCUGAUAUAAAACUCAAAGUUUUGAAGUCAGUGGGAAAAAAGGAGGUUUUUAGACUUUCUUAAAAGACGUUAAAAUUUUAGGACAGAAUUUUCUUGAUGUUGUUUGAUCUAACUUUGCACUCUUUGAUAAUAAUGUUUUAGAUAAUGUGCGUAAUCCAAAUUGGUAUUGUAGCCUCUGUUAACACAGACAGUAUAUGUUUUAAACUUUGAUGUAAACCUUUUUAGACCCAAACUUGUGGAAGUAUCAUGUGUUAAGUUCUCUGUCUCUGUUUCUUUGUUCAUUUAUUACUAAAAUGAACUUGUUAUUAAAGUAUAUGCAAAU
RNAcentral lists this long non-coding RNA (1574 nucleotides) under Homo sapiens (human). RNAcentral's name for it is "long non-coding RNA NONHSAT163953.1". The record is from RNAcentral. Lineage: Eukaryota; Metazoa; Chordata; Mammalia; Primates; Hominidae.